GGGGCUAUUCUGCAAGUCGAGCGAACAGACGAGGAGCUUGCUCCUCUGACGUUAGCGGCGGACGGGUGAGUAACACGUGGAUAACCUACCUAUAAGACUGGGAUAACUUCGGGAAACCGGAGCUAAUACCGGAUAAUAUAUUGAACCGCAUGGUUCAAUAGUGAAAGACGGUUUUGCUGUCACUUAUAGAUGGAUCCGCGCCGCAUUAGCUAGUUGGUAAGGUAACGGCUUACCAAGGCAACGAUGCGUAGCCGACCUGAGAGGGUGAUCGGCCACACUGGAACUGAGACACGGUCCAGACUCCUACGGGAGGCAGCAGUAGGGAAUCUUCCGCAAUGGGCGAAAGCCUGACGGAGCAACGCCGCGUGAGUGAUGAAGGUCUUCGGAUCGUAAAACUCUGUUAUUAGGGAAGAACAAAUGUGUAAGUAACUAUGCACGUCUUGACGGUACCUAAUCAGAAAGCCACGGCUAACUACGUGCCAGCAGCCGCGGUAAUACGUAGGUGGCAAGCGUUAUCCGGAAUUAUUGGGCGUAAAGCGCGCGUAGGCGGUUUUUUAAGUCUGAUGUGAAAGCCCACGGCUCAACCGUGGAGGGUCAUUGGAAACUGGAAAACUUGAGUGCAGAAGAGGAAAGUGGAAUUCCAUGUGUAGCGGUGAAAUGCGCAGAGAUAUGGAGGAACACCAGUGGCGAAGGCGACUUUCUGGUCUGUAACUGACGCUGAUGUGCGAAAGCGUGGGGAUCAAACAGGAUUAGAUACCCUGGUAGUCCACGCCGUAAACGAUGAGUGCUAAGUGUUAGGGGGUUUCCGCCCCUUAGUGCUGCAGCUAACGCAUUAAGCACUCCGCCUGGGGAGUACGACCGCAAGGUUGAAACUCAAAGGAAUUGACGGGGACCCGCACAAGCGGUGGAGCAUGUGGUUUAAUUCGAAGCAACGCGAAGAACCUUACCAAAUCUUGACAUCCUCUGAACCCCUCUAGGAGAUAGAGUUUUUCCCCUUCGGGGGGACAGAAUUGACAGGUGGGUGCAUGGGUUGUCGUCAGCUC
RNAcentral lists this ribosomal RNA (1043 nucleotides) under Staphylococcus sp. Its description in RNAcentral is "bacterial SSU rRNA". It matches the Rfam family "Bacterial small subunit ribosomal RNA", at positions 44 to 1061 of the family's 1533-position model. The record is from RNAcentral. Lineage: Bacteria; Bacillati; Bacillota; Bacilli; Caryophanales; Staphylococcaceae.